UGCCCCAUGGCUGAGUUGGUUACAGCGUCCGACUGUUAUAUUCCAAGCGGAAAAAGGAAUGUGAUAUCGGAAGGUCGAGAGUUCGAGCCUCUCUGGGGCAG
Dendrothele bispora CBS 962.96 is the source of this 101-nucleotide non-coding RNA. Lineage: Eukaryota; Fungi; Basidiomycota; Agaricomycetes; Agaricales. The record is from the annotation of a GenBank genome assembly.